AGUUCACCCCCGGAAGAGAUAUUUAGCGGUACAUUCUUGAAGUUGCUAGCGGAAGAUAAACAGAAACACUGUUCAACAUGGCAGAGACCCACAGCCUGCAGGACAUGAGGCAACAGGCAGCCAUCGCUGCCAAAGUCUUCCUCCAGAGAGAUUACACGAUCGGCACCGUGUGCCAGUUCCAAACCAAGUUCCCCUCUGAGCUGGAGACCAGGAUUGACAAACAACAGUUUGAAGAGACUGUGCGGACGCUCAAUAACCUGUAUGCUGAAGCUGAGAAGCUGGGAAGUCAGUCAUAUAUCGAAGGCUGUCUGGCCUGCCUCACAGCGUAUACCGUCUUCCUGUGUAUGGAGACUCACUAUGAGAAGGUUUUGAAGAAGAUUGCCAAGUACAUUCAGGAGCAGAACGACAAGAUCUAUGCGCCACGAGGCCUCCUGCUCACAGACCCCAUCGAGAGAGGCCUGCGAGUUAUUGAGGUCACCAUCUUUGAAGACAGAAGCCUGACGAGAUAAAAGCUGCCACGUUCACUGUCCAGAGCACACCCACACACACAAGCCAAAUCCAGCAGCUGAACCCAAACACUGCUGUUUGGCUGAGCGGAGCAGCCCACUACCAGUGCCCACCUCCCAGAGGACCACCCAGUCCUGUACCCUGAAAACUGCGUCUCUACAAUCUGUCCCUUCCCACGAGCUGUCAUGGGCAUGUCCCAUUCAGAGUAUGCUUUAUGACCAAGUUUAAAAUAAGGUACCAUGACAGUUAUUCAUGUUAUUUUAUCAUAAUUUGAGAUAUCUCUGUCUCUAUUUAAUAGUUCAGAGUUACAGUCUGUUAUAUUAAGUUGGACAAAGGUAAAGAAUGUUAAAUACUGAUAGACUGACUCACUAAAGCAUUGCUGAAGCCAUAAGUAAUUAACCUUUGUUCAUUUUGGACUACAUAUAUUAGUACAUGUGGAAAUAUCAACUUUUACAUAUUUCUUUCAUUUUGGAUUGUUCUUUUUUUAUUUUUGAAUAAUGAAGCCAAAACACAGGGUAACUAAUUUUAAUAUUGGUUUGUACAACUCCCCCACUCCACACACAUGCUUUAAGUGAUUGUCUUGGCAGAUCUGAGGAAAUCUAUUACACAAAUAGUUGUGAACUCUGGUUAUAUGCAUGUGCAGCAUGUUACAGUCCAUUUGCGUUUAUGCUUAUUGAUGUAUCUUUUCUCCAAGGGUGCUUAACAGUGAUAUCACCUAUCCGGCAUGUAUCUUUUUAUGGGCUUUGACCUUGAAUUUAUCUGUCGGCUGAACUUUGUCAGCCUCCAAACAUUCAAGUCAAACUAGACAAAUUUGAGUAUCUAUGUACAUCUUUCUUAUCUAUGUGUUGAUUCUUCUGUCGCUCAAAGCCUAACCCUGUGCUUGCUCUGCAUUUUGUAUGUACCAUUGUUAAUACUCCUUUCCCACCUGGUUAUUUUUAUUUAAACUGUGCCAUGCAUAGUGUUUGGUGACUACUGUUGAUUUUUGACUCAUUCACUCUAAUAAGCAUAUAUGUAUUUAUACAUUAUUGAUAUUGCCUAUGACUAUAUUAAAAGUGCUCUUGUUAGUUGACAGUGCCUGUAAUGGCUUUGAAUGUUGCCUUUGUGUCAAUCUGAAGGCCUGGUCACAUCAGGAUUUUACAGAAAUUUCAGAUUUAUUCCAGUGGCAUCAGUGUGAUUCAUAAAAGUUAAGCACAAAUGUUUUUGUAUUAUGCACACAGAUUUGUACUGCUGACAAAUUGAUCUCGACACUUUGAAGGAAAUGAGAGGCGAAGACUCCAAAGUGGAGGAAGCUGUACUAGCUUAUUAGCUUAAAGUGAACCUUUGCUAACGUCCUCUUUUGGAGAAAUAACUACUACUCCCAUGAAAAAAAAAAGUUUGCAAACAGAGAGUCAAUGGUACAAAUAUAUAAUUUGUCAUAAAAUUUUAUUGCUAUUAGCUACCUAGCUAAGCUAAAGGAGCAAACAAUGUGCUAUAUGAAUGUUGGCUUAGCUCUUCGUGAUUUAUUUUUCAUCUAGAGCUAAUAUUUUGCUACGCCAUGCUGAGGUUUUUUCUCUUCAACACUCUGAUGUGACCAGGUCUCAACAGUAAGAACAUGUCAGCUCUGGACUUUUUCUCAAGCAACAGAAUUCCAGGAUUAGGAUUAUUGUGUGUCUGUAACUUGAGCAGAAGAAUUGGUAUCUGUGAAACCUCAAGGUUGAAUAUACUGUCUUACUUACAGCUGGAAAUAUUUUGAUGACAUCUGGUGAAAGUGGUGGACAGGAACUCAUUUUAAUUAUGAUGUAACAACAUGUUCAAGUAUUUUUAUUAUUGCCAUCGCUAAAGGAUGAACACUGAAUUACAGUUAUGUAAACACAGUGUCAGCUCAUACUUAAUUCAUCUGGAGUUCAGUUAAUCGAACUGUUCUAGGUUCUUUUUUUCAGUUGAAAUUUCAAUGUGUUAUUAAUCCAGUUGUAGUUUCAUGAAUAAAAUUGGUACAUAUUUUA
Platichthys flesus (European flounder) is the source of this 2489-nucleotide RNA transcript. It is a transcript of the gene named golgin subfamily A member 7-like, with no coding region annotated. The record is from RefSeq and is a predicted model, not a curated record. Lineage: Eukaryota; Metazoa; Chordata; Actinopteri; Pleuronectiformes; Pleuronectidae. The transcript is spliced from 7 exons.